This 421-nucleotide ribosomal RNA is filed under the name uncultured archaeon. RNAcentral describes it as "partial 16S ribosomal RNA". It matches the Rfam family "Archaeal small subunit ribosomal RNA", at positions 323 to 746 of the family's 1478-position model. The record is from RNAcentral.
CUACGGGAGGCUGCAGUUAGGUAUAAUCUACAAUGCGCGCAAGCGUGAUAGUUUGAGCCAGAGUGAUUUUCAAACGAAAAUCUUUUGUGAAAUGUAAAAAGUUUUACGAAUAAGGACUGGGUAAGACUAGUGCCAGCCGCCGCGGUAAUACUAGCGGUCCAAGUCGCAGCCAUUUUUAUUGGGUCUAAAACAUCCGUAGCUUGCUUAAUAAGUCCCUUGUGAAAUUCUAUAUCUUAAGUAUGGAGCGUGCAAGGGGUACUGUUAAGCUAGAGACUGGUAGACGUGACGAGUACGUUUGGAGUAGCGGUAAAAUGUGUUAAUCCCAGACGGACUAACAAUAGCGAAGGCAUGUCACGAGAACAGUUCUGACAGUAAGGGAUGAAGGCUAGGGGCGCAAAACGGAUUAGAUACCCUGGUAGUC